CGGCAAUGGAUAUUAGAAUGGAUAACAAAUGCUACAAAUUUUCAUGCCUUGCUUAUGGCUGUAGCUGUUUGGCACAUUUGGGAAAAUAGGAAUGCCUACCGUAAUGGUGAGGCCUUAGUUCAUCCUCUUGGUGUUGUGGGGAAGAUCAAAGUAUACAUGGAGUUCAUCAAUCUGCACGUUUUUAGACCGACUAUCUCCAUCAGACGUGAGAUUCUGAAGUCAAAUCAAAACUGGUCUCCGCCGCCGGAAGGGUCGAUGCUUGUCAAUGUGGAUGCAGCGAUAUUCUCUCGGUCCAAACAAGCAGGCUUUGGUGUGGUGAUACGUGGUCACCAGGGGAGGGUGCAGGUAGCCAGCAGAGGAUAUUUUGAUCGAAUUCAAAACCCGAAAAUUGCAGAAGCCAUGGCACUCCGUCAAGCCUUAAUCCUUGCAGGAGACACAAAUAUGGAGAGGAUCAUGGUGGCAUCAAACAGCUUGUCACUGAUUAACAGGAUCAAGGAUUCAGACUUGGACAGGACCCCUACAGGAGCCAUAGUUUACGACAUCAAGAAGUGGGCCACAAAGUUUAUAGCUUGUGCUUUUAUCCAUGUUAAUCGUGCUUGUAAUCAGGCAGCUCAUACUCUGGCCAAAUCAGCAGAGUAUGAUGUUAGAUCAUGUUGGUGUAGUGAGGUUUCUCUUGUAAUCAGGACCAUUGUUUGUAAUGAACAAGUUCAUGAAUAA
Molecule: ribosomal RNA, 717 nt
Filed under: Triticum aestivum (bread wheat)
Lineage: Eukaryota; Viridiplantae; Streptophyta; Magnoliopsida; Poales; Poaceae
Description: partial small subunit ribosomal RNA
Source: RNAcentral